This 253-nucleotide ribosomal RNA is filed under the name uncultured bacterium. RNAcentral's name for it is "partial 16S ribosomal RNA". It matches the Rfam family "Bacterial small subunit ribosomal RNA", at positions 524 to 776 of the family's 1533-position model. The record is from RNAcentral.
UACGUAGGGUGCGAGCGUUGUCCGGAAUUACUGGGCGUAAAGAGCUCGUAGGUGGUUUGUCGCGUUGUCCGUGAAAACUCACAACUCAAUUGUGGGCGUGCGGGCGAUACGGGCAGACUGGAGUACUGCAGGGGAGACUGGAAUUCCUGGUGUAGCGGUGGAAUGCGCAGAUAUCAGGAGGAACACCGGUGGCGAAGGCGGGUCUCUGGGCAGUCACUGACGCUGAGACGCGAAAGCGUGGGGAGCAAACAGG